AAAUUGAAGAGUUUGAUCAUGGCUCAGAUUGAACGCUGGCGGCAGGCCUAACACAUGCAAGUCGAACGGUAACAGGAAGCAGCUUGCUGUUUCGCUGACGAGUGGCGGACGGGUGAGUAAUGUCUGGGAAACUGCCUGAUGGAGGGGGAUAACUACUGGAAACGGUGGCUAAUACCGCAUAACGUCGCAAGACCAAAGAGGGGGACCUUCGGGCCUCUUGCCAUCAGAUGUGCCCAGAUGGGAUUAGCUUGUUGGUGAGGUAACGGCUCACCAAGGCGACGAUCCCUAGCUGGUCUGAGAGGAUGACCAGCCACACUGGAACUGAGACACGGUCCAGACUCCUACGGGAGGCAGCAGUGGGGAAUAUUGCACAAUGGGCGCAAGCCUGAUGCAGCCAUGCCGCGUGUAUGAAGAAGGCCUUCGGGUUGUAAAGUACUUUCAGCGGGGAGGAAGGUGUUGUGGUUAAUAACCGCAGCAAUUGACGUUACCCGCAGAAGAAGCACCGGCUAACUCCGUGCCAGCAGCCGCGGUAAUACGGAGGGUGCAAGCGUUAAUCGGAAUUACUGGGCGUAAAGCGCACGCAGGCGGUCUGUCAAGUCGGAUGUGAAAUCCCCGGGCUCAACCUGGGAACUGCAUUCGAAACUGGCAGGCUUGAGUCUUGUAGAGGGGGGUAGAAUUCCAGGUGUAGCGGUGAAAUGCGUAGAGAUCUGGAGGAAUACCGGUGGCGAAGGCGGCCCCCUGGACAAAGACUGACGCUCAGGUGCGAAAGCGUGGGGAGCAAACAGGAUUAGAUACCCUGGUAGUCCACGCCGUAAACGAUGUCUACUUGGAGGUUGUGCCCUUGAGGCGUGGCUUCCGGAGCUAACGCGUUAAGUAGACCGCCUGGGGAGUACGGCCGCAAGGUUAAAACUCAAAUGAAUUGACGGGGGCCCGCACAAGCGGUGGAGCAUGUGGUUUAAUUCGAUGCAACGCGAAGAACCUUACCUGGUCUUGACAUCCACAGAAGAAUCCAGAGAUGGAUUUGUGCCUUCGGGAACUGUGAGACAGGUGCUGCAUGGCUGUCGUCAGCUCGUGUUGUGAAAUGUUGGGUUAAGUCCCGCAACGAGCGCAACCCUUAUCCUUUGUUGCCAGCGGUUAGGCCGGGAACUCAAAGGAGACUGCCAGUGAUAAACUGGAGGAAGGUGGGGAUGACGUCAAGUCAUCAUGGCCCUUACGACCAGGGCUACACACGUGCUACAAUGGCGCAUACAAAGAGAAGCGACCUCGCGAGAGCAAGCGGACCUCAUAAAGUGCGUCGUAGUCCGGAUUGGAGUCUGCAACUCGACUCCAUGAAGUCGGAAUCGCUAGUAAUCGUGGAUCAGAAUGCCACGGUGAAUACGUUCCCGGGCCUUGUACACACCGCCCGUCACACCAUGGGAGUGGGUUGCAAAAGAAGUAGGUAGCUUAACCUUCGGGAGGGCGCUUACCACUUUGUGAUUCAUGACUGGGGUGAAGUCGUAACAAGGUAACCGUAGGGGAACCUGCGGUUGGAUCACCUCCUUACCUUAAAGAA
Molecule: ribosomal RNA, 1552 nt
Filed under: Salmonella enterica subsp. enterica serovar Enteritidis
Lineage: Bacteria; Pseudomonadati; Pseudomonadota; Gammaproteobacteria; Enterobacterales; Enterobacteriaceae
Description: bacterial SSU rRNA
Rfam family: Bacterial small subunit ribosomal RNA
Source: RNAcentral